AGUAGUUUUCGCUGCCAGAUCAGAAUCAGGUUCUCCUCGCUCGUCGAUCGUCUUCCGCUACUUAACCCCCGCACACACACCGCCCCCAUUUCCAUCCUGCACACAGCCAUUUCACUUGCUUUGCUCCACGCCUCCACCUACCUAAAUCGCUCUCAUUAGUACUCAAUUAAGUCGAUCGGCGAGCGAUUCAGCGCGGCUCCUCGACCGAUCUCUCCGUUUCGUCAGAUCGAUCGAUCGAUCGAUCAGGGCUGUGUAUUGCGCCGUGUAGUACGUGAGAGGAUCGGAGUCGGAGCAGCGAGCGAGAUUUGUUGAAGCAAAUUAAGUAGAUCGAUCUCAUAUCGAUCAUCCUUAAUUAAUUUAUCAUGGAGCUGGUGCUGGUGAUAUCGCUGCCGCUGCUGGCGCUCAUCAUAAUCGUCGCCAUCGUCCUCUGCGUCAUCUGCCGCUAGCUUAGCUGAUUCCUUCCUGCCUCCGCGAUCAUUUUGCAUACAUGUAGUAUGUCAGUAUGUGGUGCAUCAAAUGUGAUCAUUUUGCCGCCCGUUGUUGUUGGGCACGGUGAUUGACGACAGAAAGAAUUACUCCCUUCAUAUUUUAAUGUAUGACACCAUUGACUUUUUAACCAACGUUUGACCAUUCGUCUUAUUCAAAUUUUUUAUACAAAUACAAGAAUAUUUAUGUCAUGUUUAAAGAACAUUUGAUGAUAAAUCAAGUCACAAUAAAAUAAAUGAUAAUUACAUAAGUUUUUUAAAUAAGACAAAAUGUUAAACGUUUAUUAAAAAAUUAAUGGUGUCAUACAUUAAAAUUAAAAUACAGAGGGAGUACUAGAGAACACAUGGCUUCUUGUUCCUUCUUUGGCCUGGUAUGGUGUGAGUCGUUGUGACUAGUGUGCUCCCAAUCCAGGCUGCCUAUACAUUUGUCCAUUUCUUCUUCUUCUUCUUCUUUUUCUUCUUCUUCUUCUUCGUUUUUCUGUUGGUUACUGAUGAGUUCUUUUGCUAAGGUUUCCAACUCUACUCUCUUAUUUUUCACGUGUAUAUGCUUUCCAAACUACUGAUCAAUAUCUUUUUUUUUCAAAAUUUCUAUGCGAAAGUUACUUUAGAAAAUCGUAUUAACCUAUUUUUUAUUAAAAAAACUAAUACUUAAUUAAUCAUAUAUUGAUGAGUCAAUCUAUCCUUAUAUGUAUGAAAGAUUAGUUCACACCACUACCAACCGAACGCAGCUCUAACACGAAAGGCAUCGAUUCCAAGCGUGCGGUAGUCUGUCCAUGGUGAGUGCGUGAGAAGAUGAUCCCAACGGAAGAAGAGCACAUACCGUGCACAGUACAGCUCCUGUGCUGUGUGUACGCCUAGCUGCAGGCAGCACCGGCCGGCACGUGGCACGCGGUUUUUCUGGGCUUUUGGCCUCUUCCCCCUAGGCUCGCACCCCCACCACCACCCGAUUCCCGGAACCCGCCCCAUUUCCGCCUCCUCCUUCGCCUUCGCGGCUUCGCCUCUCUCCCACACAUGCAUCGCCAUCGCCGUCAUCGUCAGGACUAAGCUCUGCUCUGCAUCUGCACCACCACCCAGCUGCAGCCCGAACAAGAAGACGAGCAUCUCAUCUCAUCUCAUCUGCCGAUCGAUCGAUUCGCUGCAGGGAGAGCUGAACAAUGGAGUUCGUGUUGAUCAUCUCGCUGCCGCUCCUCAUCCUGAUCAUAAUCGUCGCGGUGGUUCUCUGCAUCAUCUGCCGCUAGCUGAAUGGUGACACCUCAUUGUUCUUCCUGCCCAUAUCUUGAUGUGAACAUAUCAUGUAUCAAUUGAUUAGUAUCUCAUGACUCACAACAGAGCAGUCUCGUACUCUCUUUGGGGGGCCAGUGUGGUUGUGAUUAGUUUGGCCCUAGCUUUGAUGAGCAAAAAGACAUUGAUUCUGAAUGUCAUACAUACAUAUGUGCUGUGAGAAUCCCCUCUCUGCUUUGGUUCGUUUUUGAUAUUAUUCAUACGGGAGAUCGGACAGCUGAAAGCAUGAUAUUCUCAUUCUCUUUGUCAUUCUUCUGAAGAUCAGAAGCAUCA
Long non-coding RNA from Oryza sativa Japonica Group (Japanese rice), 2039 nucleotides. RefSeq lists it as uncharacterized. NCBI's taxonomy places the organism in Eukaryota, Viridiplantae, Streptophyta, Magnoliopsida, Poales, Poaceae. The record is from RefSeq and is a predicted model, not a curated record.